UGCCCAAUGAUGGUACCAAGACACGUUGACCUCUCUUAAAGAUAAGAUCAGAUCACGGGGUGAUGGAUAGAAAUAUUUUGACUGAACCAACAUAUACAAGCCGUGCUUCAGCUGUCCCCCCCCCCCGACUUUGCCGCUCAGGCACAGGAAGAGAACGCCGAGAUUUCAACAGCCAUUUUGUUCUCAAAGCUGAUGGAGCCUAUGCAGAGGAGCAGUAUUCCCAAC
This is a long non-coding RNA of Mauremys reevesii (Reeves's turtle), 225 nucleotides long. RefSeq lists it as uncharacterized. Lineage: Eukaryota; Metazoa; Chordata; Testudines; Geoemydidae. The transcript has 3 exons. The record is from RefSeq and is a predicted model, not a curated record.